RNAcentral lists this ribosomal RNA (494 nucleotides) under uncultured bacterium. Its description in RNAcentral is "bacterial SSU rRNA". It matches the Rfam family "Bacterial small subunit ribosomal RNA", at positions 29 to 518 of the family's 1533-position model. The record is from RNAcentral.
AUGAACGCUAGCGACAGGCCUAACACAUGCAAGUCGAGGGCAGCACAAGGAGCAAUCUGAGGUGGCGACCGGCGCACGGGUGAGUAACACGUAUGCAACCUGCCUGUAAGCGGGGAAUAACCCGUUGAAAGACGGACUAAUACCGCAUAAUACUAAAUUACUGCAUGGUAAUUUAUUUAAACAUUUAUGGCUUACAGAUGGGCAUGCGCAUGAUUAGCUAGUUGGAGAGGUAACGGCUCCCCAAGGCAACGAUCAUUAGGGGUUCUGAGAGGAAGGUCCCCCACACUGGUACUGAGACACGGACCAGACUCCUACGGGAGGCAGCAGUGAGGAAUAUUGGUCAAUGGACGAGAGUCUGGACCAGCCAAGUCGCGUGCAGGAAGAAUGUCCUAUUGGAUUGUAAACUGCUUUUGCAGGGGAAUAAAGUGCAUCACGUGUGAUGUUUUGUAUGUACUCUGCGAAUAAGGAUCGGCUAACUCCGUGCCAGCAGCAGC